ACGGCGAGUGAAGCGGCAACAGCUCAAAUUUGAAAUCUGGCUCUUUUAGAGUCCGAGUUGUAAUUUGCAGAGGGCGCUUUGGCUUUGGCAGCGGUCCAAGUUCCUUGGAACAGGACGUCACAGAGGGUGAGAAUCCCGUACGUGGUCGCUAGCUAUUGCCGUGUAAAGCCCCUUCGACGAGUCGAGUUGUUUGGGAAUGCAGCUCUAAAUGGGAGGUAAAUUUCUUCUAAAGCUAAAUACUGGCCAGAGACCGAUAGCGCACAAGUAGAGUGAUCGAAAGAUGAA
This 285-nucleotide non-coding RNA is filed under the name Pyrenophora teres f. teres 0-1. Its description in RNAcentral is "Eukaryotic large subunit ribosomal RNA". It matches the Rfam family "Eukaryotic large subunit ribosomal RNA", at positions 86 to 368 of the family's 3401-position model. The record is from Rfam by way of RNAcentral. Lineage: Eukaryota; Fungi; Ascomycota; Dothideomycetes; Pleosporales; Pleosporaceae.